UGCGACUCACCUGCGUCGUCUUCUCACCCUCUUCCAAGUCGUCCUAUCAGCUUCAUGCGCAACUACAACAACUUCAACCGCGUGUGGAAGGCGCCGCGUCGUCCGUUCGAGAAGGAGCGCCUCGACCGCGAGAUGAAGCUGUGCGGCCAGUACGGUCUGCGCUGCAAGCGUGAGAUCUGGCGUGUGAACAUGACGCUGUCCAAGAUGCGCCGCACGGCCCGUCUGCUGCUGACGCUGCCGGAGAACCACCCCCGCCGUCUGCUUGAGGGCUCCGCCAUCAUGCGCCGCUGCCACGAGUAUGGCUUCCUCGACGAGGAGAAGGACAAGCUGGAUUACGUGCUGUCGCUGACGGUGCCGGACAUUCUCGAGCGCCGCCUGCAGACCAUCGUCUUCAAGGCCGGUCUCGCCAAGUCCGUGCACCACGCCCGCGUCCUGAUUCAGCAGCGCCACAUCGCCGUCGCCAAGCAGAUUGUGACGAUCCCGUCCUUCAUCGUGCGCGUGAGCAGUGAGCGCCACAUCGCCUUUGCUGAUGCUUCGCCGUUCGGCAACGGCCGCCCUGGCCGCGUCAAGCGCGUGCGCGCGAAGGCCGCCAAGCGCCACGCCGGCGGCGGCGAUGACGACGAGUAAGUCGCCAGUUAGACGAGUGGAUGGUUCGUGCCUUUGCCGAGGGAGGAGAGUGGAGAGAAAUGCGAGUUGGACAGAUUGAACACGCGAGAGGGUCCGUCUAGGGACGGCGCUCUGAGUGCAACGUGUCUGCGCGACACACGUGAGCGCAUGUCUCUCUCUGUCUGUGUGUAGUAUGCUUGUCGCUCGUUCUCUACGCUCUUCAGCUCCUCCCGCGUCCACCUAUGGCGAUGAUCCGAAAGGCUGCACUGCCCACGCCGUCGCCGCCGCGCGCCGAGAGACAAGCAUGCACCCUACCUUCACGGAGCGGCACCGGUUUCCUCGGACUCGCAGGGUGUGAGGGAAAGCCGUUGUCGAUGGUGAUGGCAAUGGACGCUUGCUUGCCGCUGGUGCUGCGGUGGUGGUGGUGGUGAUGUCCGCGAUGUCCGUGGUGAUGUUGGAGGUGACGUACCGCCCCCUCAACGCACUUCUCCGUCCUUCGUUUUCCGUUUUCUGUUUGUUCUUUCCCUUCGUUUUCGCCUCUGUUCU
RNAcentral lists this unclassified non-coding RNA (1152 nucleotides) under Leishmania donovani. RNAcentral's name for it is "gene:LdHU3.07.0910(CDS-product:40S_ribosomal_prot ein_S9_putative)". Lineage: Eukaryota; Euglenozoa; Kinetoplastea; Trypanosomatida; Trypanosomatidae. The record is from RNAcentral.